Molecule: ribosomal RNA, 577 nt
Filed under: Alternaria sp. DX-FOF7
Lineage: Eukaryota; Fungi; Ascomycota; Dothideomycetes; Pleosporales; Pleosporaceae
Description: eukaryotic LSU rRNA
Rfam family: 5.8S ribosomal RNA (bases 200-353)
Source: RNAcentral
CUUUCCGUAGGGGGGACCUGCGGAGGGAUCAUUACACAAAUAUGAAGGCGGGCUGGAACCUCUCGGGGUUACAGCCUUGCUGAAUUAUUCACCCUUGUCUUUUGCGUACUUCUUGUUUCCUUGGUGGGUUCGCCCACCACUAGGACAAACAUAAACCUUUUGUAAUUGCAAUCAGCGUCAGUAACAAAUUAAUAAUUACAACUUUCAACAACGGAUCUCUUGGUUCUGGCAUCGAUGAAGAACGCAGCGAAAUGCGAUAAGUAGUGUGAAUUGCAGAAUUCAGUGAAUCAUCGAAUCUUUGAACGCACAUUGCGCCCUUUGGUAUUCCAAAGGGCAUGCCUGUUCGAGCGUCAUUUGUACCCUCAAGCUUUGCUUGGUGUUGGGCGUCUUGUCUCUAGCUUUGCUGGAGACUCGCCUUAAAGUAAUUGGCAGCCGGCCUACUGGUUUCGGAGCGCAGCACAAGUCGCACUCUCUAUCAGCAAAGGUCUAGCAUCCACUAAGCCUUUUUUUCAACUUUUGACCUCGGAUCAGGUAGGGAUACCCGCUGAACUUAAGCAUAUCAAUAAGCCCGGAGGAA